UCCAGUGGUUCGACACUCGUCCUUCGUCCCCUAAACCCAGACACACCUCGACACCACGAACGGGUCUGGGCUGUCAAAACACGCGACGGCGUGUUGAGUUCCAAUAACUUGCACAAUGAUUAAUGAGCGGCUUGAUAAUUUAAUACCGCGUAUGAUUAAAUUAUAAGGCGUGGGGGAGGGGAGCCUGGGCGGACGCCGCGGAGCGAGCGGUUCGCCGCUACGCGCAAAGCCGCGCUCACCCUCUGCGCAGCGCUCUGCAAAGCUCCGAGAGCUGUGGGUCCGCGCCUUCCAAGUGAGCUGUCCUGGGUGCUGAUGCUGGAUGGGCAUCUCCGUCCCUGAGAUGUGUUCCAAACGAAAGAACUUCAGCACUUAGGCCUGUGUGUGGAUAACUGCAGACCAUCUUCAGAGAUGACUGUAAAAUAUCCCUGACCAUCACAGAUGUCAGCCAGCUCCAUGGUUCUCUUCUCUCUCUCCCCUGCCCAGGACUCAUGAUUACAAUUGACAGAAGGAACCAGGGCAUCAAGAAUAUGCUGGAGGAUUGGAGGCCACUGAGGUUGAGGGAAGGAGAACUGGGAAGGAAGGUCCCUGCGAACACGUCUCCCUCAUGUCAGCCAGGCCAGUUGUCCAGGAGACAUUCUGAAUAAUGCCUCAUCCUGGAAGUGGCUUGUGUUCUCAUGGACAGCGGAGAAAAAUGGAAACAUGAGCCAAAGGAAGAUUCCAGAACCUAGGAACAUGUUUGUGCGGGUCUGCAGACAGCAGACAGACAUCCCUCCAUUCUCUGAGAGCCACUCUUCUGUGUUAUGACUGGACCCGUAGUCACUAGGUUUCCAAAGGCAGAGUAAGUCUGUGGGAAAACUGACCCCUGGUGUCCACAGGGAGUGGAGUAGGUAUUAUUUGUUGUAUUUUAGUAGGACCUUUAGUGGAAUCACUAAAGGAAGAUCAGCUGACAACUAGGAUGAGUAUAAGAGCUGAAAAGUGACUUUCACGGCUGUCCCUGGUAACUAGAAUACGUCUAUAGCUUCCUGAAUAGACAACCCCACCCUACUUUUUUUCUUUCUUCUUUGGCCGCAUCUAUGGCAUAUGGAAGUUCCAGGGCCAGGGCUUGAAUCUGAGCCACAGCUUUGACU
RNAcentral lists this long non-coding RNA (1127 nucleotides) under Sus scrofa (pig). RNAcentral describes it as "lncRNA (ENSSSCG00030043791.1)". Lineage: Eukaryota; Metazoa; Chordata; Mammalia; Artiodactyla; Suidae. The record is from RNAcentral.